Molecule: ribosomal RNA, 476 nt
Filed under: uncultured Lactarius
Lineage: Eukaryota; Fungi; Basidiomycota; Agaricomycetes; Russulales; Russulaceae
Description: eukaryotic LSU rRNA
Rfam family: 5.8S ribosomal RNA (bases 162-315)
Source: RNAcentral
GAGUGUGUCCUCUCACAUAAANNNNNAUCUCACCCUUUGUGCACCACCGCGCGGGCAGCCUUCGGGAUCANAGUGAUCUCAGAGGAUGCUCACGUUUUCACACAAACCCCCUUUUAAAAGUGUAGAGUGACCUCAUUUAUGCGCUAACCCGCAAUCAAUACAACUUUCAACAACGGAUCUCUUGGCUCUCGCAUCGAUGAAGAACGCAGCGAAAUGCGAUACGUAAUGUGAAUUGCAGAAUUCAGUGAAUCAUCGAAUCUUUGAACGCACCUUGCGCCCCUUGGUAUUCCGAGGGGCACACCCGUUUGAGUGUCGUGAAAAUCUCAACCUCCUUGGUUUCUUCUGGAGACCAAAGGAGGCUUGGACUUUGGAGGCAUUUGCUGGCAUCUUCUCUCUUUUGAAGGUCAGCUCCUCUUAAAUGAAUUAGCGGGGUCCUCUUUGCCGAUCCUUGACAUGUGAUAAGAUGUUNCCAUGCC